RNAcentral lists this ribosomal RNA (254 nucleotides) under uncultured bacterium. Its description in RNAcentral is "partial 16S ribosomal RNA". It matches the Rfam family "Bacterial small subunit ribosomal RNA", at positions 524 to 776 of the family's 1533-position model. The record is from RNAcentral.
UACGGAGGGUGCAAGCGUUGUCCGGAUUUAUUGGGUUUAAAGGGUGCGUAGGCGGCUAAUUAAGUCAGCGGUGAAAUUCCACAGCUCAACUGUGUGAACUGCCAUUGAUACUGGUUGGCUUGAGUACAGAUGAGGUAGGCGGAAUUGACAGUGUAGCGGUGAAAUGCUUAGAUAUUGUCAAGAACACCUAUUGCGAAGGCAGCUUACUAAACUGUAACUGACGCUGAGGCACGAAAGCGUGGGGAUCAAACAGG